CAGCCGCCGCGGUAAUACGUAGGUGGCAAGCGUUGUCCGGAAUUAUUGGGCGUAAAGGGCUCGCAGGCGGUUUCUUAAGUCUGAUGUGAAAGCCCCCGGCUCAACCGGGGAGGGUCAUUGGAAACUGGGAAACUUGAGUGCAGAAGAGGAGAGUGGAAUUCCACGUGUAGCGGUAAAAUGCGUAGAGAUGUGGAGGAACACCAGUGGCGAAGGCGACUCUCUGGUCUGUAACUGACGCUGAGGAGCGAAAGCGUGGGGAGCAAACAGGAUUAGAUACCCCAGUAGUCCCUGUCUCUUAUAC
This 301-nucleotide ribosomal RNA is filed under the name uncultured bacterium. Its description in RNAcentral is "partial 16S ribosomal RNA". It matches the Rfam family "Bacterial small subunit ribosomal RNA", at positions 509 to 807 of the family's 1533-position model. The record is from RNAcentral.